RNAcentral lists this transfer RNA (68 nucleotides) under Kirchnerius guangxii. RNAcentral describes it as "tRNA-Met". It matches the Rfam family "tRNA". From Rfam's summary of the family: Transfer RNA (tRNA) molecules are approximately 80 nucleotides in length. Their secondary structure includes four short double-helical elements and three loops (D, anti-codon, and T loops). Further hydrogen bonds mediate the characteristic L-shaped molecular structure. tRNAs have two regions of fundamental functional importance: the anti-codon, which is responsible for specific mRNA codon recognition, and the 3' end, to which the tRNAs corresponding amino acid is attached (by aminoacyl-tRNA synthetases). tRNAs cope with the degeneracy of the genetic code in two manners: having more than one tRNA (with a specific anti-codon) for a particular amino acid; and 'wobble' base-pairing, i.e. permitting non-standard base-pairing at the 3rd anti-codon position. Lineage: Eukaryota; Metazoa; Arthropoda; Insecta; Coleoptera; Lucanidae. The record is from RNAcentral.
AAAUAGAUAAGCUAAAAAAGCUAUUGGGUUCAUACCCCACUUAUAAAGGUUCACCCCUUUUCUAUUUA